UUACUCAAGAUGACUAUAUGACUCAAUUCUGUUUUUUCAAAAAGGUUUUUCUUAUUUCUAGAUUCACAAAAAUUAGAUGAGAAGAAUGCCUAUGAUCUUCAAAUCUGAGUUCAUCUAUAUGUGGACCAUGGACAGAUUUAUGAAUUUUCAGACAAAGAAAAACUCUGUGAGAGCGCAUGCUGUACUUCUGAUUCCAGCAAAUGUGCACAGGAAGCCCACCCUCGGUAUCACAAUAGCACUCCAUGCUGAUGAUCACCAGAGUCCAGUGUUCAAUUUAGAGGCAAUGUCAAAACGAGCAACAAUCGAAGAGAAACCAGCCUGGAUUGAUUUAAAGAACGGGCCUGAAGGAACCUCUCAGAGUAUGUUUGUGUCUUUGUAUAACUGGAGCUGGCUUUCUGUAAAUGAGAUGCAAAAUGGAGGAAUUCAGGAAAUUCAUAUGGCAGUUUCAGUGCUGCGCAGGACUGCAUGUUUGAUCCCAGAGCUUAGCUUUUACAAAGAGCACAAAGAAAUAAAGUCCAAAAGCAAGCAUAUGCAGAGGGCCAUUUAA
Molecule: long non-coding RNA, 547 nt
Organism: Numida meleagris (helmeted guineafowl)
Lineage: Eukaryota; Metazoa; Chordata; Aves; Galliformes; Numididae
Source: Ensembl